UAGGGAAUAUUGCUCAAUGGGGGAAACCCUGAAGCAGCAACGCCGCGUGGAGGAUGAAGGUUUUAGGAUUGUAAACUCCUUUUGUGAGAGAAGAUAAUGACGGUAUCUCACGAAUAAGCACCGGCUAACUCCGUGCCAGCAGCCGCGGUAAUACGGAGGGUGCAAGCGUUACUCGGAAUCACUGGGCGUAAAGAGUGCGCAGGCGGGCUUGUAAGUCAGAUGUGAAAUCCUGUAGCUUAACUACAGAACUGCAUUUGAAACUAUGAGUCUAGAGUGUGGGAGAGGUAGGUGGAAUUCUUGGUGUAGGGGUAAAAUCCGUAGAUAUCAAGAGGAAUACUCAUUGCGAAGGCGACCUACUGGAACAUUACUGACGCUCAUGCACGAAAGCGUGGGGAGCAAACAGG
Molecule: ribosomal RNA, 404 nt
Filed under: uncultured bacterium
Lineage: Bacteria
Description: bacterial SSU rRNA
Rfam family: Bacterial small subunit ribosomal RNA
Source: RNAcentral